GCUGGGCAUGGUGGCGCGUGCCUGUAAUCCCAGCUACUCAGGAGGCUGAGGCGGGAGAAUUGCUUGAACCCAGGAGGCGGAGGUUGCAGUGAGCCAAGAUCGCGCCAUUGCACUCCAGCCUGGGUAACAAGAGCGAAACUCCGUCUCAA
Molecule: unclassified non-coding RNA, 149 nt
Organism: Callithrix jacchus (white-tufted-ear marmoset)
Lineage: Eukaryota; Metazoa; Chordata; Mammalia; Primates; Cebidae
Rfam family: Metazoan signal recognition particle RNA
About the family: The signal recognition particle (SRP) is a universally conserved ribonucleoprotein. It is involved in the co-translational targeting of proteins to membranes.
Source: Ensembl